Dama dama (fallow deer) is the source of this 1911-nucleotide long non-coding RNA. RefSeq lists it as uncharacterized. The transcript has 6 exons. The record is from RefSeq and is a predicted model, not a curated record. NCBI's taxonomy places the organism in Eukaryota, Metazoa, Chordata, Mammalia, Artiodactyla, Cervidae.
CCCAAUUUCUCAUCACAGGUUAUUCUCGCUCUGGGCAGUUUCCUUAGAGUUACUGGCGAUAACCCUUCCGUUCUGCAAAGAUGAACAGAUCGACGUCUUGAAAGGACCCCACUGCCGGCGGGUGUGGGAAAUACAGAGGCGGAAAUUUGGUCCCGGAGAGAAGAGACCUCCCCUCUCAAGCUGGAAGACACGACCAGAACAUAAAAAGUCGAGUUUAUGGCCCCGGGGCGGAAUAGGCCCUUCAUCUUGGCCUCGUACUCUGUCAUCGCCUCCUGCUGGAACUGUGGGGACAGUGAAGACCACCCCCUGGCUCAGGAUGGGCCACCUGCCCCCCUUCCUCCCCAGGACAGUGGAACCUAACCGGGAGAUGCCUGUGGUGGCAUCUGUGUUUUGCCUAAGGAAGACAUUCUCUGAUUCAGAGAUGACAGAAGUGGAAUCACCUUUCAAGAACCAGCAGACUCCGAGAAGCAAGUCAGGACCCGCUUGUAGGGAGGCCCCUUCCCACCCGAGUGGUUCCUGCUCAGCACGGGGCCUGGAGUAUGAGUCCUGUGCCUCCCCUCCAGGGCUCACCUCUCCUGAGCCAUCUUGUCUGUGGUGACCUUCAUCAUGGCCUGGAUCCGCUCCAGCCUCUUGGCCUCCAGCUUCUUCUUCAUCUCUUUGGUGUCACUGCAGAGAAACAGGCAUCAGGAAGAAGUUUCCUUCCGCCUGAGACUUCCUAGAAGCUCCAUCAUCUUGGUCAUUUGCUGAGGGAAAGGAAGAACCGGCUAAGCCAAGCAGAAGAGAAGCCCUUCCAUGUGCAAUGUGCCGAAGCUGCCAGGCUAGGAUGUGCCUAUGCGUGCAGUGGCGAGGUCAAGACCCUUCGGAUAGGUGGGAGGACCCCGAGUGCGUACCUGCUGACCCAUUGCUUGUUGGACCCGAUGCCCCAUUGACCUGGUUGGCAGGGUGAUUCCCAAGAGGGAAGGGACUCUGUAGGAAGAGUGGAUUGGGAAGGUGCCUCUUGCCCUGAGCCGGGAGUCGCCCCCACCCUCAUCUUCCCGCAGAUGGGGCAGGCCUGUGCGGGGCGCUGGCAGGAGCCCUGACAACACAGACCUCGGGCUGGCCUCCCAUGGCUUCCUUGAGCUUCACAGACUUCUUAUCAUGGGCACUGAAGAACUUGAUAGGGUUAGCGAGGGCCACCGUGAGAUCUGGGUGCACAGGGACAUGGUGGACCUGGUGAGGAGAUGUGCUUCGGAGCCUCUCCCAUCCUCACCUGCCCCAGGAUGCCCUGUUCUGCCUUCCUCUGGAGGCUGGCUUGAGGAGAAAGGAGAGAGGAUGGACAGCCUGGGGCUCCCAGCGUUCCAUGGGCCUCCUACCUGCCCAGGUGUCAGGCACAUAGUCCUUCAUCUCCAGGAAGACAAAGAGCGCUGGCAUGGUGAGCGGCAUGUUGCUCUCAUUGUGCAGACAGAGAUGGUGGUAUCCUGUGGGACAUGACCAGGUGACCAGUGAGCCAGAGCCCACUGCUUCCAGCACUGCUCACCAGCAGCCCAGUACUCAACACUCCUGCCUUUAGUCUGGUUCCUGGCUGUGUGAUCUUGAGUAGAUUACUUUAAAUCUCUGAGACUUUCCACAUCUGUGAAAUGGGGGUAACAGUGUCUACCUCAUGUGGUUGUGUGCAUGCUAAGUGGAGUCAGUCGUGUCCGACUUUGCGACCCUAUGGACGGUAGUCCAUCAGGCUCCUCUGUCCCUGGGAUACUCCCAGGCAAGACUACUGGAGUGGAUUGCGAUGCCCUCCUCCAGGGGAUCUUCCCGACCUAGGGAUCGAACCUGUGUUUCCUGCAGCUCCUGCAUUGCAAGCAGAUUCUUUACUACUGAGCCCCUGGGGAAGCCCACUUCAUGUAGUUAUUCUCUAAAUAAAGUGAGAAUGUGUUAUAA